GGGGUGUUAGCUCAGCUGGGAGAGCGCUACGCUGGCAGUGUAGAGGUCAGGGGUUCGACCCCCCUACGCUCCA
This 73-nucleotide transfer RNA is filed under the name Listeria booriae. Its description in RNAcentral is "tRNA-Ala". It matches the Rfam family "tRNA". From Rfam's summary of the family: Transfer RNA (tRNA) molecules are approximately 80 nucleotides in length. Lineage: Bacteria; Bacillati; Bacillota; Bacilli; Caryophanales; Listeriaceae. The record is from RNAcentral.